Molecule: transfer RNA, 75 nt
Filed under: Actinomycetes bacterium
Lineage: Bacteria; Bacillati; Actinomycetota; Actinomycetes
Description: Actinobacteria bacterium (soil metagenome) tRNA-Cys
Rfam family: tRNA
About the family: Transfer RNA (tRNA) molecules are approximately 80 nucleotides in length. Their secondary structure includes four short double-helical elements and three loops (D, anti-codon, and T loops). Further hydrogen bonds mediate the characteristic L-shaped molecular structure. tRNAs have two regions of fundamental functional importance: the anti-codon, which is responsible for specific mRNA codon recognition, and the 3' end, to which the tRNAs corresponding amino acid is attached (by aminoacyl-tRNA synthetases). tRNAs cope with the degeneracy of the genetic code in two manners: having more than one tRNA (with a specific anti-codon) for a particular amino acid; and 'wobble' base-pairing, i.e. permitting non-standard base-pairing at the 3rd anti-codon position.
Source: RNAcentral
GCCACCGUGGCAGAGCGGCUAUGCACCUGGUUGCAACCCAGGAAGAACGCCGGUUCGACUCCGGCCGGGGCUCCA